Molecule: ribosomal RNA, 253 nt
Filed under: uncultured bacterium
Lineage: Bacteria
Description: partial 16S ribosomal RNA
Rfam family: Bacterial small subunit ribosomal RNA
Source: RNAcentral
UACGUAGGGUGCAAGCGUUAAUCGGAAUUACUGGGCGUAAAGCGUGCGCAGGCGGUUUUGUAAGUCUGUCGUGAAAUCCCCGGGCUUAACCCGGGAAUGGCGAUGGAGACUGCAAGGCUAGAGUUUGGCAGAGGGGGGUAGAAUUCCACGUGUAGCAGUGAAAUGCGUAGAGAUGUGGAGGAACACCGAUGGCGAAGGCAGCCCCCUGGGUCAAAACUGACGCUCAUGCACGAAAGCGUGGGGAGCAAACAGG